AAAUCUUGAAAUUUCGACUUUUCAAAGAGUCGAAAUUUUGACUUUUUUAGAAUUCGAAAUUUUGCCUUUAUAAAAAGUCGAAAUUUCGACUUAAACUCAAAAUUUCGACUUUUUUAAAACUGGAAAUUUCGGUUUUUUCUAAACUCGAAAUUUCGACUUCUUUUUAACUCAAAAUUUCGACUUGUUUUAAACUCAAAAUUUCGACUCGUUUUAAACUCAAAAUUUCGAAUUUUCCUAAGUAUUUAUACGUUUGCGAUUACCACAUUCACAGUCAUUUAUAUCAGCAAGCGGAGAGCCAUAUACAUCAUAAACUUAAUAAGCACAUUUUAAUAAACUAAACAAUUUUAAAGAGGUUAUUUUAGAUAGAAAAUCUUGUUCUUGCCGAAGAAUAAAUAAAAUAUGUUUCACGUUCAAAUACAUAUUUCAAGUCUGGACUUCAGAUAUGUGUAUCAAGACAACCCCGUUAUUCCGAUACACCCAUGUUACGACAUACUUUUAUUCAACAGUCUGAUAUAUAAAGACAAGGGUUAAUAGUUGUGUCAUAAGAAUGUCAACUUGUAGAGUUUAAUCAAUAUUUCAAAAAAAAAAAGAACCAUUUAUUCAUUUCAAAAUUCCAAAACUAGAAAACCGAGCAGCUCAUUUGUCGUCCUGAAUAUGCAUGGCAUUUUUGGCUACUUGAUUUACCAUUGUUUAAACAAGGCAAAGUCAGUGACUUGCUAUUGGGAAACCAAACAGGCCUUUGAAACUGCGAUGCUAUAUGUUCUCAGAUAUGACGAUUCUAUGACAGUGUCGUGGGAACUAAAACAUGGAACAAAACCUAUUUCAAAAUAUAAAUUGCCAAAAUGUGUUGAUGACGCUUUAAUAAUUUGCGUCCAUGGCUACUCCUUCUAAAAUUGUAAUAACUGUGUUUGAAUACUAACAUCAAAGUUUUAAAAGAGAUCAAAGUCGAAAUUUCGAUUGUAAAAAAAAUCGAAAUUUUGAGUUUAAAAAAAGUCGAAAUUUUGAGUUUAAAAUAAGUUGAAAUUUCGAGUUUAAAAUAAGUCAAAAUUUCAAGUUUUAAAAAAGUCGAAAUUUUGAAUUUAAA
RNAcentral lists this long non-coding RNA (1084 nucleotides) under Mytilus galloprovincialis (Mediterranean mussel). The record is from RNAcentral. Lineage: Eukaryota; Metazoa; Mollusca; Bivalvia; Mytilida; Mytilidae.